UGUAGGUCCAGGCGAAUUCUUUUGUGGUGU
This 30-nucleotide non-coding RNA is filed under the name Mus musculus (house mouse). The record is from RNAcentral. Lineage: Eukaryota; Metazoa; Chordata; Mammalia; Rodentia; Muridae.